Molecule: transfer RNA, 65 nt
Filed under: Dipodomys ordii (Ord's kangaroo rat)
Lineage: Eukaryota; Metazoa; Chordata; Mammalia; Rodentia; Heteromyidae
Rfam family: tRNA
About the family: Transfer RNA (tRNA) molecules are approximately 80 nucleotides in length. Their secondary structure includes four short double-helical elements and three loops (D, anti-codon, and T loops).
Source: Rfam by way of RNAcentral
GGUGGCUCAGUGUUAAAGCGCUUGCCUUGCAUGCAUGAGGCCCUGGGUUCAAUUCCUCAGCACCA